Molecule: long non-coding RNA, 5683 nt
Filed under: Medicago truncatula (barrel medic)
Lineage: Eukaryota; Viridiplantae; Streptophyta; Magnoliopsida; Fabales; Fabaceae
Description: long non-coding RNA (MTRU_LNC003859)
Source: RNAcentral
AUUAAUGAAACACAUUUAUCAAACUUAUCUGAAUUGAAAUAUUUUGAUGUGACUCAAAAUUCACUUUCAUUCAACUUGAGUUCAGAUUGGGUUGCACCUUUCAAACUAGAAAUACUACAUGCAUCGUCAUGCCCGCUGGGUCCUAAAUUCCCAACAUGGCUCAAACAUCAAAGGGGGCUUACUUAUCUAAAUAUUUCUAAUUGUGGUAUUUCAGAUUCAUUUCCUAAAUGGUUUGGGAAUUUAUCUUCAAGUUUGAAAUACUUGGAUUUUUCCCAUAACAAACUCAAUGGACCCUUGCCAAAAUCCUUACCAAGUCUGAAUGUAAAUUAUGAUGAUAUUCGGGUGUGGGAUUUUAGUUUCAACAAUUUGAAUGGUUCAGUGCCUCCUUUUCCAGAGUUGUACGCUCUAUUUCUCUCAAAUAAUAUGUUUACAGGGACCCUGUCUUCUUUUUGUUCAUCCUCAUCUCAAAGUUUAAUUCAUUUAGACUUGUCUAGUAAUAUGUUAGUGGGGCCAGUUCCAGAUUGUUGGGAGAAGUUUCAAUCUUUAAGAGUUCUAAAUUUGGCAGAGAAUAAUUUCUCAGGGAAAGUACCCAACUCACUUGGUGCUCUAGAAAAUAUUGAAUCACUCCAUUUAAAUAAUAACAACUUCUCCGGUGAAAUUCCAUCUUUGAUCCUUUGUCAAAACUUGAAAUUAAUUGAUGUUGGAGAUAACAAUCUNUUUUUAUUAAAAUUUUCAGAUUAUUUUUUAUUUUAUUAAAUUUUCCAGAAUUUUUUUAAUUUGUUUAAUCAUAUUUUUUAUUUUAAUUAAUUUUUUCGUUAUUUUUUUUAUUUUUCAUUUUUAUUAAUUUUUCCAUAAGUUAUUUAAUUUUUUAUGUUUUUUUUGUUUUUUAUUUUUUUUUAAAUCACAAAUGUCACGUGUACCCUUUAAAAAAAAUAAAAAAUAAAAAAAAUUAUACAGUCAGCGUCCAUUACACAUGUGUCAGGUUUUAAAAAAAUAAAAAUAAAAAUAAUUACAUGGCGGCGUGCCACAUCAGCGUCUGAAUGGGGUCAAAGAUGUUUUGUGGAGAAUCUUAAUAUUAUAGGGGUGUUUUGUGAAGAAUCUUCAUAUUAUAGGAUUGAAAUCUAAACUUUUAUUUUUACAGGAGGUAAAUCGGAACUCGCCCACAUUACCGUGGUAAAGACAUAUUAACCAUUAAAUAAAUUUGAAAAACAAGAAGGCAUAAAGUCCAAUGAAACAAUACAGUUAUUCUGGAUUUCAAUGGAAACAAUAUUAUUGUAUGCACAACGAUUGUCUUUUAGGAAGAUAUGGGAAAUAAUGAAUCAGAUAUUUUGAAUUAAACUCAACAAAGUUCAACCACUUAUUUCUUAACCUCGAACGAACCGGGCUCUGAUUCUUGAAAGCAAGAGUAACCAGUUGAGCUGCCUGCUUGACACUACUUAUAAAUUUUAAGACAAUGUAGAUGUAUGGUUUAAAAAAUGGUGUACCUAAAACAAUAAAAUUUACGGACAAUAUUAUAAAUUUCUCCUGUUGAGCAAUUUACGGACAAUAUUAUAAAUUUCUCCUGUCGAGGAAAGCUCAACAGGGAGCCAGUGCUACUGUGGUCAAUGGGAUCUACCACAAUAACGAACACUGAAAAAAGGUUUCAAAAAGUUAGAUUAGUUGGGGGAAGAUUUUGAUUUUUUUUUGUUUGUUGAAAUUUGGCUUUAAAUUUAUGGUUUAAAAGAAUAGAGAAAUUGUGACACGAUUGUGGCAUCGUGACACAAUUUUGUAAUGUCGUGAGUUGGUUUGCAGGGUGUCAAAUCGUGGUACGAUUUUGUGAAAUCGUGACACGAUUUUCAAACUUGCUGGUUAAGUUUUCAGGAUAAGGUUGGUCGUACCUUUGGUCGUAUGUAUCAAUCGUGGCACGAUUUGGAAAACGUGGCACGAUUUUAUCAGCUGAAGACUGCUAAAUAAGUGUUUUUGUGCAGAUUUUGGAGGAGAGCUGGAAGAGAGAGAAACUUGGAUUACAAAGGAGGUAACUUUAGGGUUGAGUGUCUUUGUAUUUAGGAUCUCUUGGGUUGGGAAACAUUGUAAACACCUUGGGUAGUGAGAUUUCACCAUUGGAAGGAUCAAAAGCUUCCUUCCGUGUCUUCUCUUUAGGGUUCAUUAUUGAGAGAGAGUGGAACACAAAUGGGUAGAAAUUAGGUCUUGUUCUUGUAUAAGCUUGCAAGCUAUUUUCUUGUAACUCUUUGUAACACUUUCAUCAUAGUGGAUUGGAGAGCUGCUCUCUCCCCCAGAUUAGGUCAUAUUGGACCGAACUGGGUCAACAAUCUUUUGGUGUGUUUGUUCCUUCUUUCAUUGCUUAUCUUUGUUCUUUGUUUAUGCUUGUGGUGUUGCUCUACACUAGAUUAGGUCUGUUUUUGUUGUUGUUGCUUGGAGACACUUUACACAUUGAUUACCACUUCCUUUGCUCCACACUUCUUUGUUUUUCAUUGGUGUGAUUAUCAACCGGAACUCACAACAUUUUUUGUCCCUAAUUUGAUUCAAAUUGUACUUCUAAUACUCUCAUAUACGUUAAAAUCUCCCCACCUAUACAUUUUUUUUUGUCAAGUAGCCUGGCGGCUAGAGAAAUUCACCUUAAAUGUGAAUAAGUGAGGUGUUCGGGGUUCGAACCCCAACCCCUUCAUUUAUAUGUAUUAUCGCUUAUCAAGUGAGCUAAGCUUACAUGACAUUCCCCACCAAUACUUGUAAACGAGUGUAUUUAGGAUCUCAUUACCUUCAAUAAAAAAACAAAAACAAAAUUGUACUUUGGAUCUAAUGAGUAAAUAUUUCAUGGUAAAAAAAAAAAACGAAGAUGAGACUUUUCGGAAACUCAUAAUAGUACUUCAGUAAAAUUACAUUAUUUUAAUUAAAUUAAUUUUUUCAUAAGUUUUAGAUACAUAAUCAUAUAUUAAACUAAGGUGAUCGACUUCAUUUAAUAAUUCUACUGUGAUUUAAAGAAAAAUCAAGUGACUUAAUUUUUUUUUUUUUUGUGUUGGCCGAAGUUUGAACCCAGGACCUUGCAUAUUUUAAGAAUUGUACAUACCAACUGAGCUAAGCUCACGAGGACAAGUGACUAAAUCUUUAUAGAGAUAGUAUAAUUUUAAAUAAUAUUUUAUUAAUUUUAGUAGAGUAUGAGGCUUUUAUAUCAAGUAUUUUUUUUUUUUUUUUUUAUCAUUAGUAGAAUAUGAAUGAGGUCUUUAAUAAAAAAAAUAUUAAUUUUUCAUUUUGUUAGGUUUAAAACAAUUGUUUUGAGGACCUUACCUUUAGACNUACUUGAGUCCACAUCUAGGGAUCAUAGUGGUUUCAGGUCUAAGAGCGAUAUACACUAUUAUAAUUGUGAGAAUAUCUUAUGGCAAUCUCAUAACGUACUAUGUAGUAUUCUCACAGUGGAUCUAUCCAGUAUAAAUAUUACUCCUAAUAUUUAUACCUACAUAUAGACUUAAUAUCUCAUAUCUAUAACCCAUGAGAUGCAGUCAUCAGUCUACAUACAUAAUAUUCUCGACGCUUUAUUAUUAUCCUAAUUAUAUUAAAGCUUUACUACGGAUACAUUUAAUAAUAUUGUUCUUUAUGAUAAUGUAAUCUCAUGAUUAAGUCACACUUAAUAUAUUAUUACACGAACUAUCUAUUCUAAGAACUUUAUUAACAUUACUAUAAAUAUAAUAAAGAGUAUCAUAUAUUAUUCAAUAAUAAAAGUCAUCAUACAUAAGAUAAGUUUAACAUAAAUUAUUGGCCUCUAGGGCUUACACCAACAAUAUAAAGGUUCAAUAUAUAUAUAUAUAUAUAUAUAUAUAUAUAUAUAUAUAUAAGUAUAAUUUUUUUAGGCAUCUAUACCUUUUUUGAAUCAAAAUAAAAAUAAAAAAAUUUAUAAAAAUAAUCAUAUGUAUUAUGCAAUGCCAAAAAGAAUUAUACGCAUUAGCGUAACAAAAAAACCGACACACAAAAAGUAUUACUCUAAAUGUUAAUGUGUGUGUGUGUAUAUUAGCGAGGUUGAAGAAAGAAAAUAAAAAUAUUUUCUAUCAUUAAAUGACAGCGUGAAUAAAAAUAUUUGUGAGGUUGUGAUAAUUAAACGAUAUUGAAAUUAAAUAUAUAAGUGAUAAAAAGAUAAUAAAAUUCCUUUGAAAAAAGGUAGUAAAAUUAAGAGGAACAUCCUUAAACAAAAUAAAAUGGAACGGUUAAAAAAAAAAUUAAAUGGAAGAAAAAAACAUAUUGAAAUAUAAUAUUAAAAAAUAAAAGAAUAGGUUCCCAAUGUGAAUUGAAAAGAGAUGCUUCUGAAAUAAAUUGUCGAGAAGUAAACCAAGUUGCUUGGGCUCCAGUGGCAAGGAACUCCUUCCAAGGACGUACCCGAGGAAUAUCGGGUUUGAUUCCGAGGAGGAACAACGCACGAACCGGAUUAGUCGCCCACCUUAGGUGGGUCAAAAAUCGGUGCGAAAGCAAAAAAAAAAAUUAUCGAGAAGUAGUUUUGUGAAGUAACAUUCAAUAACUUUUGGCGAAAACUCAUUUCAUUCAAUUUUAUGCAUUAAAAAAAAGUACCUUUUUUAAUAAGUACUAAUUGAUUUUGUAUUUGGCUUAACUUCUCCUUAAAAAUAUAGAGAAGUUGAAAAACAACCGGGUCAAACGGUAUCUUAAUCUCCCACAACGGCGAUGUAGUAACAACUGAAUUUGGGAGAAAAAAUUGGAAAAUAGUUAAAAAAAAAAAAAAAAAAUUGGAAAAUAGUUAAAAGUUUUUAAAAAUAUAAAAAUUGGAAAAUAGCUAAAAAAAAUCGGUGAUAUAGCACUCAACGCAACACUAAAAAAAAUUAUAUGCAUUAGCAUAACAAAAAAAAAACAGACAGACGGACAUAAAAUAUUACUCUAUACAUUAAUGUGUUUGUGUAUAUUUGCGAGGUUGAAGAAAGGAAAUAAAAAUAUUUGGUAUCAUUUAGUGUGAAUAAAAACAUUUGUGAGGUUGUGAUGAUUAAACGAUAUUGAAAUUAAAUAUAUAAGUGAUAAAAAGAUAAUAAAAUUCCUUUGAAAAAAGAUAAUAAAAUUAAAUGGAACCUCCAUAAAAAAUUUAAUGGAAUGGUUCAAAAAAUAAAAUUAAAUGGAAAUUUUUUUUUAUUGAAAUAUAAUAUUAAAAAAUAAAAGAAAAUGUUCUCAGCGUGAGUUGAAAAGAGGUGUUUGUGAAAUAAAUUAUCGAUAAUUAUUUUUUUAAAGUAACUUUCAACAACUUUUUGGCCAAAGCUCAUUCCCUUCAAUUUUAGGCAUUCAAAAAAGUAUUUUUUUUUAUUAAGUACUUAAUUGAUAUUGCGUUNUAACCAAUUGAAUGGAUCACAACCAUUAUUUGAGAUAACUAAACUCGUCUCAUUAAAAACACUAUAUCUCUCCCAUAAUAACUUAAGUGGGCCAUUUCCACGUACAAUAGGCCAACUUUCUGAUCUAAAUGACUUACGUCUCUCUUCAAAUAAGUUGAAUGGUGUCAUUAAUGAAACACAUUUAUCAAACUUAUCUGAAUUGAAAUAUUUUGAUGUGACUCAAAAUUCACUUUCAUUCAACUUGAGUUCAGAUUGGGUUGCACCUUUCAAACUAGAAAUACUACAUGCAUCGUCAUGCCCGCUGGGUCCUAAAUUCCCAACAUGGCUCAAACAUCAAAGGGGGCUUACUUAUCUAAAUAUUUCUAAUUGUG